UGACAUACAAGUUGGGGAAUGAGAGGGCGUUGUUCCUCUACCUUAAAAGCUUCUACAACCGUGAGAUGGUGUCGUGUUGCUGUACUAAUGACAUGGAAUGGCUGCAGUCCUGUACAACAUGGAGGAGGGAGAAGGAUGGAGGGGGGAAGUUUGGGAUGCAUGUCCCGGUGCAGUGGUUGAGGUGGAGGCUAGACAUUCGUCACAAUAUGCCUGGAAGUGAGUCGCCCUUUCAGUGCGAUUUACCGCCCUGCCGUGAACCGACACUCCGCAAGUGCGGGAGGCAACCACCAGCCUGACACAGGAUAAAGCCCAGUGCUAGGCUGCAGAGAGAGAGAGGGGAGGGGAGAGAGAGGACAGAGCGUGGUGUGAUAAGAGAAGCGAUGAUCUAGAACUUAACUACCUCUCAAAGUCAUCGCACUCUCCAUGGAGCGAGAGAGAGAAGGAGGGAGCGAGCGAGCGAGCGAGCGACGCAUUAAGCAGGAAGCGAUGCAGUGCAUGUUGCUCGCGCAAGAGGCUCCCCCUCCUCCCUUGCCCUCGACCCCCCGAUGCCCUUCGCUCGGCGCGAAGUGUGCACAUCCUUCCCUCCCGACAUGCAACGCAACAUGCAGCAGCAUUAAACUUGUACAUCUUGGCGAGAUUCCUCCUCAGCCAUCACCCCCUUACUCCCCAUACCCACCCCAUGCCCUCGAAUCCACCCUGGGGUAGUCAGCGCGUUGUGUAACACACGACAGACAGAAGGCGGGCUAUUCCCGCACUGCAGUGAGCGCGCGCGCGCACACACACACACGCACGGAGUAGAGGCCCCUGGUUUGCCUCGCCAACUGGAGUUUGCAAGGGCGAGCAGACCGGAGCGGCUUGCCCUGCCGAGUUCCCUCCCCCUCCCGCUAACUCGACCUCCUCCUCUCUCACUCCGUGAGAACACUGGGCGGCUAGCUAAGCCAGCAAGCCCAUCAUACGACAUGCAACAACCCUCUGACUGCACGGCGCCCGAUAUUAACUGACACACACCACUCCAUUGCGCCUCUACUAUCUGACAUACAUCACAUAAUGCACCACCGAGCUUCUCCACGACGACGACGACGGUGGUCAUAAGGCUCGGCUUGUUGUGUUGCGCGUGUGUGUGGUGUGCGUGCGUGUACUGCACGAACCCCUCGCUGUUGCCAACCGUCGUCGACCUGUUGACUACUUGUGACACCAAACUACUACAGGUCAUUUUUUUUCUCUCUCUCUCUCACAGGAACCACUUGCUACUGUGUCCAUCCAUCCAGCCAGCCAGCCAACCAGCAUGAGGUGCGAAAUCACUUCGCUGUGUCAACUUUAGAAAUCUCAGCUCCGGUCUCAACGUGUCUCCAAGAAUUAAAAAAAAAAAGCCCAGCAGGCAAUGUGUGCGAGCAACUUUUCGACUCGAUUCGCUGGAAGUGCGUUUGUUCCUCCAUUAAAACUGUUCCCACCACCGUCACCAUCACCACCACCACCACUACCACUAAGGCACAUCCAACCAGUGCGUUAUGUCAUCGUCUCACUGAGUCUGCUUUCUUCAUGCUCGAGAGCCUGUCACCUUCCGCGGCUAUCUUGUGCCUUGGCACACACACACACAGCGGCUGUAGGGCGACGUGGUGGUGGUAGUGGUGGUGAUGGUGGUGGUGGGUGAAGGAACGGUAUCGCUGACCUGACGAUGGCAGGCAGGUCGGGACGCCCCCCCACCAGUAUCGACCGCCCAGGCCAUCGAUACAACACUGCCUCACUUCUAUUCUCGGCUACACGCCUGCUGUAUCGGGCAGUCUGGCAGCAAGCAAAUGGCCCCUAAGUGUCAUCAUUCCUACAAAACAAAUUAACAUUCCAAAUUGUCUCAGGGCGACGGAAGGCCACAACUGCUGCUGGCCAGUGUCUCACUUGUCGGACCACGGUCAAGGUUCAUGCUGUGAGUGAGUGACCGACCGACCGACCGACUCAGGUGUGUUGUUGGCAAAGAUGAAACGACUCGACAAUUACCCCCAUCAUCUCCCUCUUUAAACCCGCCGAGAGCUGUGUUUACUAUAAUCCAUGCGCCUUUCGGAUCAGCUCAGGAUGAUGAAAGCAUCAAGCUGUGCUCUCAUGUCGACAGCAGGGGUGUGAGAAAGCUCCAAUUCGAGACUCGGUGGGGGAUGUGAAGAGGUGACUGAGUGGACCAUAUCCUACCAUCCGCUGACAAGUCUAGAUGCACUUGAAAUAGUAAAUAGGUCUUGUGUCGAGACUUGUCGAGGGCGUCAGAUCGUGCGCGUCAGAAAACGGCUCAGCUGAUGCCUCAUCUUGGCACGCUGCACCACAUGGUAGAUGUUGUGCCUCGAGUCUGUUGACGCUAGGUCCUGCCACAUGUGUCACACAUUUCAAAGGUGCACCGACUGUGGGUUCUUCUUGCUCGAGAUGUACGAGAACCGAAACAAGCUUGGCACAAGCUUCGUCUUCUGUUUUGUUGACGUAACUAACCGGGAAAAACCAACAACAAAAACAAACAAAAAAUGUCACACACACACACCUACACACACAUGUACAUCAAUCUUCAGAACGACACGACGACUGGUGCGACUUGCUGCACACGCCAACGGCUCACAGCAACAGGCUUCAGACAUUGUCUUUCCUCCUUCAUCUCUGACGUCACAUACCGGGAAUUCAACAUCACAAAAUACUGCGCUAGUUAAUAUUCAACACACCCUCCUUCUCCUCCCUGCACACAAGUCGACCUGGCUUCAAGAGGGAGGAUGAGGAGGAAAGGAGGAGGAGGAUUCGUCACAGAAUCUCACAUAAUUGAGUGCACAUCCAUCCUUCUCGCUGCCUCCCUCGCCAAACUUCGUCAUCCUUAGGAAACAAUCAUCCGCAGCCACAAUUCUGCCAAAAGAUUGACGACCCAAAACAAACCGUCUGCAAAUCUUUUCGCGCCCGAAGCUCGAGCGCAAGAGAUUUAUUGAAAGCCACCCCUCGCAGGACACAUCUCCGAUGCCUCCGCCGCCGUCGCCGCCGCCACGUACAACGUAGUGUAGUUUCCGUUGGAAAGAUCUGUGUUGCUGACAUGCAGAUGAAUGUCAACCGACAGACAAGCUUUGGAAGAACAAACGCCAGUUUGGAAAAUUAAAAAAAAAAAUUGGCUGUGCCUAUAGCUCUUCAUUGUGUUGUCUAAAAGUGAUCAAGGCUUUUUUUUCUCCCUCGACCACAAAAGCCAGCAGUUUGUUGUUACAUCGAUGUUGUGCUUAGCAAAAUUGUUGCUGUCAACAGCACAGGUCUGUUUGCUGUCUAGGAUUUACUAAAACCCAUGUUUACGUAUUCAACUAACGACGACUGUCAUCUAAAGCAAGUGGGCAAAGGAGGCUUACCUAAAGGACUGCUGAACUCGGUCGUUAUGGUUACAGUCACCGUGGAGACUGAUUAGCUUCAGCUCCCAUCUCAGAACCUUCAGUGUUGUAAGAUAGUCAAGGCGCAGACUAGUCAUAUCCCCAUUCAAAACAGGACUGGGACUGGUUGAAAAGCAGCACGCACGUGAGCAGGUAGGGUGAUCAUGGUCUUUAACAGAAGUUCACUUCUCUCAUCGCACACUCUUAACAGUAAUAAGUUCAAAAUAUGUCAGCAAGAUCACCACAAUAGCUGGAGAAGAACAGUUAAAUUCAUAUUAAUGUUUAUUUAUAUAAUUUAUGGUGACCUCGACCAGAGAAACAGGCUUACAUCAAUGUGUGUAAUUUUUUCUUUUUCUUAUUUUUUCUCAAAAAAAAUUUUAAAAAAAUGUCAGAAAAGUUUAUUCCUGGGCUAAACCGAAGAAUAAAAAUGCAGACAGCGUGGGUGGGAUAUUAUGUAUCACAUGAUUUCUCUCUCAUAUGUUAGAAACCUGUUUGAAAAGAGUUUGUUACGACGAUAAUCAUUAGACUGGUAAUGAAAACAGGAACAGAGAGAUAGAGAGAAAAACGACUGACUUGGCAAAACAUUAUGUCCCCUUGGUUAGCUACAGGUGUCUAAGCACAGGGCUAAUAUUAACAGGUAUUUCUAGUAGACAAUCACAUCCAUUGCAUACAUGACACAUUAUAAAGCCCCAAGUCGGAUAACAUACAUACACACACACCAACACAUACACAUUCGCACACAAUAAUCUCGCGUUUUCACGCCUAUGGUAGCACCGACCAAUCAGCUGUAUCCAGACAGACAGACAAGUUACACAGAAUGCUCACGUGACCUUCUUCGACAGACAGUCAAACGCGUGGACGACGAUCGCACCCCCACCGUGAAGGUGGGAGGGAAAGUUGUUGCCAGGUGCGCCUCCAACCCCCACACCUUCGCACCACAACCAUCACGACCACCACCCUGAAAGCUUUUGCCCCCCCUCCACUUACCCCUCCCACACACACGCACAUACACCUCCCCUCUCUCACCGACAUCGCAAUACGCGAGCACAGCCAAGGUGUGUAGUCAGUUCUCCGUGUGGUGCUGGUGGUGGUGGUGGUUGUGGAGGUAGCGGCGAUAGGUUUUUAGGCCGUCGUGCUGGUGCUGGUGGUGUCCUUCUCGACGACAGCGACGCCGCGCCGGCAGACAAGAGGAAGGUGGGCCGACGAAACGUCUGUGGAGGACGGCGAUGAGCCGGGGCGACGGAUGAGAAGAGCGCACAGCCUCCUGCUCUCGCCCAAAGGGGGAAAAAGAAAAGCCAGGGGAACGAAUAGACAGGAGGCUUCCUCGGCUGGUCGGGAGGAGAAGCAGUAUCUAGGUCGUCUGGCAUAUCUUGCUCCAUAUUCCACGACCACAAGCGAAAAAGGGCUGGAGCCGCUGACUACGAAAACCCCCAACCGAUCGCCCCCCUUCCUCCUCCACCCCCACCGACAUCGCCCGCCAGUCACUGGCUGGCUGUAAGAGCGCAUCACCUCUCCCCUACCUAUCCCCCACCCACACACUCCUCUGCCGUCUCUCUCUCUCUCAGCCACCCACCCCACCCCACCACCCAGCUUCCCCCUUGCGCUUGCUAUACUAUUGGAGUUGUCUGCAGUCACGGCUCGCCUCGUAGACGCUGCUGCAAGGUCCUCUCUCUCUCCGCCAGCUUCUUCCUCACUCCCAGUCCGCCUGUUUAUCUUUCUGUCCGUCGCUAGCUGACUUCUUAACCCCUCCCCUAACACCAUCUCCCCCUUUCUCUCUCUUCCUCCUACUGUCUUGCUGCCCGCCUCCACGCCUCGCGUCAUUGGAUUUCAUCUCUUCCUCCUGUCGUUCUUACCUUCUUCUAAGCCCCCAACCCCACCCACAACCCCCGAUUCUUCUAUUUGUGCACGGCAUGCAUGCACGCGCGCAAACGCACAAACACAGAGACAGUUAUGCACGGAGGAUAGGAGCAAAUAGUUCACAACAAUCUGCACCCACGGACCUUUUGGUCUCAAGUCAACAGUGGGGAGAAAAAAAACAACAACCGGCAGUUCCAAAUUUUGCUGCCGACCACACCCCUUGCAGAUUUUUGUUGACUGUUUACUAAGUCGUUGUGGUUUGUUUGUUUUUUGUUUUUUUUUAAUUUUGCUUUUCAAACUUUGCUUCAUUUUCUUCACUCAGAUGUUGGAUGUAAAAACUUUUGCGCUCCUCUAAAUACAUGCUACCACUUGACAAAUUUUUUUUUUUCAAUUUUUUUUUUUUUUUGGUUUGGUCGAGGGGUGAGAAGUUUUUACACUCCAGUGAACUUUGUGGACCUCAUCACUUGCCCAGAUUGACUAGUCCGGUCAAUACUUUGGUUAACAUGACAACCUGGCAACAGUAGACAUCUUUGUCGUGAAAGAACCUCUCAUAUUAUAAAUUAUUAUUAUUUAUUGUCAGUACCGUUUUGUGGGACGGGGUAUAAUACAUUAAUCACGUGCAAAUUCUUGUCAUGUGAUAUAGAUCAUGUCGGAGUGAAACUUGUUUCAACUGAAAGUAACUCGUCUCUAGAAUCUUAAAAAAAAUCCGUCAACGGACUGUAUCUUUCGAGAAUGUUCAUCGACUGUCCUUUAGAUGUGUGUAUGUGGCGAUACAUGACCAGUCUGCACCCUUAUUUCUCUCCCUCUACCCGGCACCUCAAUUUUCUUCAACUCUCCUUUUUCUCUGCGCAUCUGGUCAAGGGAGAUGAUUUCAGGUAAGACAAACCUUGCCAGAGUUAGCGCAGCUUAGCCAAGCAUAGCAUCACCUGAAUGUUCCACCUCGCGCCUUGCUAUUUACCGGAUGGAAGGUGUUUACCUGUAAUCUAUUGUCACGUGUCUCUACCUCGGCAGGUGUAGGAACGGACAACCGUGGUGUAUCUGUUAAAGGUCAACCCGAGAAAUACCAAACAUAAAGUCAAAGCUGCGGGGUAAUUAACAUAAUAGAAGCUGUUAAUUUUUUUCUGCCGUAAUUUUUAUUUGUAGACAAGCAGACGUGGAAUGACUGAUAUUCGUGCUUCUGGCAUCAUUAAAGGUUACAGCCUGUGCCUGAGCUUCAAGCACGUGUUAACAAGGCGUCGGCCAAUCAGCAAGCCGACAUAUGUCACGUGACAGGAAAUAACGACUUAGCCUCUUUGAAAAACCCAGGUGAGAACUGCAAUGUUCAAAGGCUUGAUUCUCAUGAACAGAAUAGAGCUUUUUUGAUAAAAUUUUGUGAAUGAACAUAUUUUAAUGAAGUAAAUUUAAAAAAAAAAUAAGUAUGAACUCGAGUUGGUCUUUAACACGCAGCUGUACCAAUCGUCUGGAAUCAGCAGUCUGCAAGCACUAUUUGUGGCUGGUAGGAGUGGGCGGGAGAGGAUUGGAAAUCUUUGUAAUGUUUAGAAACGAGACAUACCAUCACCGAUCGUCAUUUUAGAAACCGAGAAAAUGAUAUUCGUGGCAUUUGAUACAUACGAUGUCUGGGUGGUCGAGAACAUCAUGAUAAAACUAAUUACAUGGUAUAGACUUAUAUGGCCCUCGGUACAUACAUAUACGUGUUGUAUAAUUUUAUCUGAGGUUCUUUUGUUCUUUGUUCCUCGUAUAUUCUUCUAUAAGGAACUGUAAAGGUGUAUGUGAUUACACACUCAAACUCCGUGUGAAACUUAAUCAUCGUAGUUUUAGAUAGGACAUUGUAAACAUGAUUUAUAAGAGUCCAUAGAAUCUUAUGAAGAGAAAUACUGAGGGAAAUGUUUAACUUGCUUGCUGUGUGUGUAACUAAGUGUAAUACAGCAAACAAGGUGUUUGCAGUUACACAAGAAAAUUAACUAUGAAACAUCACCAUUGGCUUUCAGAUAUAAUAUAGCAAACACGAUUUAUAAGAUAGAUAAAAAUAAGGGAAAUUUUAACUAGUUAUCUGUCGGCAUGUUAGAAACAACAAACUUUCGCGAUUGCGCACAAAAAGCAAUAUAAAGUGUGACAAAAGUAAGAUUUAUAAGGCUACACAUGAAAAUAGCGCACAUAACAUUUUCACCUGUUACCUGUCGAAAGGUAGGUGCGGGAAUCAUCUUUCCAUUCCAGGUAAAAAGACAAAUGUUCUCUGGGAGUAAUCAAUGAUGUGUAGAAGAAUGUAAAUCAAACUGUUUCACUAUCCUAUCUUGGAAAAAGAAUAUUUACAGAAAAUUUCAUUGGCUGCCAUCUUGAAUGUCGGUUAACGGGUUUGGCUUCCUCAUCUUCUCCACCCCUGUACCCGCCGCUACCCGGUCCCCUUGCCGUUGAUUGUCUUUCGGUUUUCAGAAUCGUCUUGACAUAUCUUACUCCCUACCCUCAUCACCAGGACUAUAAGUUUAAAAGAUUUUUUGAAAGUUUAUUUAACUUUAUUUGACAAUAUCGAAUAUUGCAGUUGAUUGUUGGUUUCUCAGGGGUGGAGUAUCAGGCCAAAUGGGACAGAUGGCAAUUAAACAAAUAUGCGGAUGGAACAGUUUGUAUACACGCACGUAUGCAUGCAUGAAUAAACCUAUAUUCUUACUUAUUUUUAUAUAAUUUCAUUACGAACAUAGGUGUAUAUGUCAAUUGUUUGAUUGUCUGUCUGCCUGUCAAGCUGCCAUAGUCCGUUCUCAAGUAGUGAUAACAGCAUAGUAUUCACACCUAGCACACAAACUACUUUUUGCCAUAAUACAUGUACAUCCCAAGUUUACAGCACGCAAUGAAAAACAAACAAACAAACAAACAAACAAAACAAACAAAAAGCUGUUAAAACAUUGCACGGAUUUUGAGUUCAAGUAUAGGUUGCUUGCAUAUUCAAUAUCCAAGCUUGUAAGUCAGAUAUUUGUUUUGUGUUUUGAGUUCUCCUGCUGGUCUAUCAUUACAUGAUGUCCCUAUCAUAAUGAACAACAUUAGUCGGACAAUAUGAGACGAGGUUCACAUCCCAUCGUUUUGUUUCGUUUUUUUUUUUUUUCAAACAGCCAGUCUCAAUCAAGUAUUAAGUAAGCCUGUUUCUGAAAUACUAGUUCUAAUUUAUCUUCUGUUUUAGGAUAAUCACUGUAAUAUAACCCUUAUUAUGAUAUUAAAUAUAAGCUUGUUUUGUAUUAACAUAUUACAGGGCUGUCUGAGAUUUGUUACAAAAUAAUUUCAGACAUUCCAGCCUUGAUGUCAGCUACAAAAACUUAGAAUUUUAAGACAGUUUAAAACUUUUAAAGCUUGUUUCACUUACCACCUGUGGAAAUGUUGUGAUACAGGUGGACAACAACAACAGUGAUACACCGGCAAGCCAUUACUAGUCAGCAGCAAGUGUAACAUGUCACGAGGUGCAAUCGUGUUCCUUUAGUGUGAAGUAGAAGCAGGUGGAAGACAAUACACUUCUCCUUCUUUUAGAGAGGGAAAACUAUUUACGAAGGAAAUUGAGAAGAAAGAAAAUAAAAACUGAGGAUGCAAGAAGGAACGAAAAAAGAAACAAAAAUGAAGAAAGUAAUGAAACUUUUCUUGCUAAAUGUUUCGAGCUUACAAACCUAUCGUCAAAUCUGUUGUAAGUUUACAAGCCUGUCAUCAAAUGAAUUGGUUCGAGUUUACACGAUUGUCAUCAACCGAAUUUACAGGCCUUUCGAGUUAGAAGUCUGUCAUCAUCAAAUAGUUCAUUUGAUGAUAUGUUUGUAAACUCCAACCAAUUAGGUAAUACAACUCUUCUUUGUUUCCACCAUGUGCGAAGUGAAAAAAAAAAGAGCCCUCCCCAGGACCAUGACCCCUUCCCUUGUCCCCCAAUCCAGACCAAGCCUGCAGGGAAUAGGAACCCUCCCUAGACCUGGCCUCUUUGUCUCUUGUAUUUUAUGCUUCAGUACUCUUGUGUUCACUCUAUUCAUAUACGAAGGCCGCCAGAGCUAAGCUUGCUGGAGAAGAAUCUGGAAGCUUCUCCCAGACAGACAGUAUUCUCCUCAGACCAAGGCUCAUUAUGAUGUGAUGAAGCGAGCAUAUGGUGUCGACUGUGUGACUUUGUGUUGGCGAGCAGAACAAUUUGUCAAACAUAUUCAAUAUAAUGGCUCCGAAAAAAGGCAAUUCAUCAAAGACACUCUCUUGAAGCAAAGUAGAAAGUAGACAGAGAGAUAUAGACAGUCUACACUUGAUUUGGGGUGUGGGGAGGUUGUCCCUUUUCCCCCCUUGUCAGCUCAGACCUUCAACCUCAAAAACCUUUUCACUGGAAGUAGGUACUCCAAGCUGAUUUUUGUUAACCAAUUAAACUACCUAGACAAACAUAUUUUUAAAAUUCUGAUUGAAUGGUACUGAGAGUCUUUCUAUAUCUCAAAUUGUAACAAAGUUCCGAUGUUUUAAUAUUUUAAUUUCCAGGUAAAUUAUUGCACAAAACAGAUAAUAAAAUGCUGAUUUUGGAAAAUCCUACACUAAUAGUUAAGCACUCUUAGAACCAGCCAUCUGGUAGCACUACAAAGAACUGGGUUAAUUUGUUUCUGGACAGCUAGGUACUGAAACAUACUGGUAAUAUGAUUGAAAAUUACGAUUUCAAGCAAAUGAUACUGCUUUGAAACAGCAGCGUUACUGACACCUAGAUAAAAAAGCAAGUUCUAAUUAAGUUACAGAAAUGGAUCAAUGGAUUCAGAUUCUUGAACCCUUUUUAAAAAAAGUGUCUACUCAUUUUGUUCCACUGCACUUCAGACUUGCAUCAGAUGUUGUGUGAGCUGUUCAUGAAUAAAAUAACAGAUUUUAAUCAAUAUCAGAAGUACAAUCUCGGGCAGAAAACAUCCACUCACAUAUCUGCUUACUAAUUUUUUUUUGUCAUAGCUGUCAGCAAUGGCUGUAAUAUCUGGAGCCUGACAGAUUCUGUCAUCACUGGCAGAACAUUAAAGCACCGACGGAACACAAAUCACGAUUCUACUUCAUCUGUGCCUGACCACUAGAGAAAAAUCAUUUCUUUAGAUGUCUUCUCAGAAAACUGGACAAUUGCAGGAAUUUGGUGAGAAAAUGUUCACAUCCUGCCCAGUAUAAUAUUGAUGAUCAUAGCAGACGGUCAGCUACUGGUCAUGCCUACUAAAGGUGAACAUGCCUGAGAGAAAUGUGUCAUCAGUUGUUUGAAGAACAUUUUCUUGUUAGUGUUCAAUGGGGUAGGCUUGUAUACUGCAACCCAUACUACUGACUUGACAUUUUGGUAGUCUGCAGUGGCAGAUGGGAAUACAACAUCUCUCUAAAGUUGUGGAAAACACCAGAAAAAUAUAAGUCAAGGAGAUCAGAUGUAUCUUCUCCCCAUUUUUCAACACUAUGUUCCUUGCUUUGCUCAUAGAGAAGGAGACCUGUGUCUGUGAUUUUACUGUCAACCAAGGCCCAGAAAGGACCUGUGAGACCAAAAUACAGCAGAGCAAUGGCACAGACAAGGCACAGGAGAUUAUUGUCACUGCAGUCAGCAUGCACACUAUUCAGGUUGGUAGUGAGAAACUUGUUAGUGUGGCCCGGUGUCUCACUACCAAGCAGUCCUUUAAGAUGGUCCUUGUGAUGAAUAAUGGCGGCAUCAGCUUCAAACACGCAGUUAAACCGGUUGGAGCGGAAACUUGUCAUGUAGCUCUUGGUUUGGACUUCCCCACAGUGGGUGUAGCAGGAUGAAUCGUUGACUAAUAUGACCCGUUGAAGCGAGGCAUGCUCAUGCGUAGAAACUAUGGAUCUUCUAGUGUUGUUGAAUGAAUUAGCAGACAUUUUCGUGGUAUUUUUCUAAAUCAAAACCAAUAAUAAAGCGUGAGUUGUAUG
Pomacea canaliculata is the source of this 11096-nucleotide long non-coding RNA. RefSeq lists it as uncharacterized. The record is from RefSeq and is a predicted model, not a curated record. The transcript has 3 exons. NCBI's taxonomy places the organism in Eukaryota, Metazoa, Mollusca, Gastropoda, Architaenioglossa, Ampullariidae.